This 278-nucleotide ribosomal RNA is filed under the name uncultured Synergistaceae bacterium. Its description in RNAcentral is "partial 16S ribosomal RNA". It matches the Rfam family "Bacterial small subunit ribosomal RNA", at positions 1107 to 1382 of the family's 1533-position model. Lineage: Bacteria; Thermotogati; Synergistota; Synergistia; Synergistales; Synergistaceae. The record is from RNAcentral.
GCAUUCAGUUGCCAUCGGGGUAAUGCCGGGCACUCUGGAAGGACUGCCAUCGACAAGGAUGGAGGAAGUGGGGAUGACGUCAAGUCAUCAUGGCCCUUAUGUCCAGGGCGACACACGUGCUACAAUGGCCGGCACAGCGGGAAGCGAGUUCGCGAGGACGAGCGGAUCCCUCAAAGCCGGUCGCAGUUCGGAUUGAAGUCUGCAACCCGACUUCAUGAAGCUGGAAUCGCUAGUAAUCGUGGAUCAGCCAAGCCGCGGUGAAUACGUUCCCGGGCCUU